UACAGAGGGGGCAAGCGUUGUUCGGAAUUACUGGGCGUAAAGGGCGCGUAGGCGGCCCUCUAAGUCAGACGUGAAAUCCCUCGGCUCAACCGGGGAACUGCGUCUGAGACUGGGGGGCUUGAAUCCGGGAGAGGGAUGUGGAAUUCCAGGUGUAGCGGUGAAAUGCGUAGAUAUCUGGAGGAACACCGAUGGCGAAGGCAGCCUUCUGGGCCAACACUGACGCUCAUGCACGAAAGCGUGGGGAGCAAACAGG
Molecule: ribosomal RNA, 253 nt
Filed under: uncultured bacterium
Lineage: Bacteria
Description: partial 16S ribosomal RNA
Rfam family: Bacterial small subunit ribosomal RNA
Source: RNAcentral